UGGGGAAUUUUGCGCAAUGGGGGAAACCCUGACGCAGCAACGCCGCGUGGAGGAUGAAGUCCUUCGGGACGUAAACUCCUUUCGAUCGGGACGAUUAUGACGGUACCGGAAGAAGAAGCCCCGGCUAACUUCGUGCCAGCAGCCGCGGUAAUACGAGGGGGGCGAGCGUUGUUCGGAAUUAUUGGGCGUAAAGGGUGCGUAGGCGGUUUGGUAAGUCUUGUGUGAAAUCUACAGGCUCAACUUGUAGUCUGCACGAGAAACUGCCGGGCUUGAGUAUGGGAGAGGUGAGUGGAAUUCCUGGUGUAGCGGUGAAAUGCGUAGAUAUCAGGAGGAACACCUGUGGCGAAAGCGGCUCACUGGACCAUAACUGACGCUGAUGCACGAAAGCUAGGGGAGCAAACAGGAUUAGAUACCCCCGUAGUCC
This 424-nucleotide ribosomal RNA is filed under the name uncultured bacterium. Its description in RNAcentral is "bacterial SSU rRNA". It matches the Rfam family "Bacterial small subunit ribosomal RNA", at positions 355 to 796 of the family's 1533-position model. The record is from RNAcentral.